Molecule: ribosomal RNA, 472 nt
Filed under: Aleiodes seriatus
Lineage: Eukaryota; Metazoa; Arthropoda; Insecta; Hymenoptera; Braconidae
Description: eukaryotic LSU rRNA
Source: RNAcentral
UAACCUGAGAACCCAAAAGAUCGAAUGGGGAGAUUCAUCGUCAGCUCAUUUUGUAUAUGUAUAAGUUAUGAUGCGGGUUACUACUUGUAGUAUUGCCUGCACAUUCUUGUAUAUUUAGUUGCAAGAUGUUGUCGGCGUGCACUUCUCCCCUAGUAGAACGUCGCGACCUGUUGGGUGUCGGUCUACGGCCCAAGUGAUAGACUUUAAUGUAAUUUAAAAAGCAUUAAAGAUCCUUGGUGUUUUCUGACCGGCUACUUGGCAGUAUUCGUACGGUAUUUAGCCGCUAAAUUUAUUAAGCGUCCAUAUCCGUCACAAGCGAGGCUAAUUUACUGAUAGUACGGACCUAGUGCCGUCGUUGGUAUUGGCCAGCUGUUGGUUGUAUGGUAUUCUAGGACUGGCUAAAAUUAAUUACCGGUCGGCGAUGCUACUGCUUUGGGUACUUUCAGGACCCGUCUUGAAACACGGGACCAAA